Molecule: ribosomal RNA, 497 nt
Filed under: uncultured bacterium
Lineage: Bacteria
Description: partial 16S ribosomal RNA
Rfam family: Bacterial small subunit ribosomal RNA
Source: RNAcentral
GAUGAACGCUGGCGGCGUGCCUAAUACAUGCAAGUCGAGCGAACGGACGAGAAGCUUGCUUCUCUGAUGUUAGCGGCGGACGGGUGAGUAACACGUGGAUAACCUACCUAUAAGACUGGGAUAACUUCGGGAAACCGGAGCUAAUACCGGAUGAUAUUUUGAACCGCAUGGUUCAAAAGUGAAAGACGGUCUUGCUGUCACUUAUAGAUGGAUCCGCGCUGCAUUAGCUAGUUGGUAAGGUAACGGCUUACCAAGGCAACGAUGCAUAGCCGACCUGAGAGGGUGAUCAGCCACACUGGAACUGAGACACGGUCCAGACUCCUACGGGAGGCAGCAGUAGGGAAUCUUACGCAAUGGGCGAAAGCCUGACGGAGCAACGCCGCGUGAGUGAUGAAGGUCUUCGGAUCGUAAAACUCUGUUAUUAGGGAAGAACAUAUGUGUAAGUAACUGUGCACAUCUUGACGGUACCUAAUCAGAAAGCCACGGCUAACUACGUG